This 464-nucleotide ribosomal RNA is filed under the name Vreelandella stevensii. RNAcentral's name for it is "partial 16S ribosomal RNA". It matches the Rfam family "Bacterial small subunit ribosomal RNA", at positions 338 to 795 of the family's 1533-position model. Lineage: Bacteria; Pseudomonadati; Pseudomonadota; Gammaproteobacteria; Oceanospirillales; Halomonadaceae. The record is from RNAcentral.
CCUACGGGAGGCAGCAGUGGGGAAUAUUGGACAAUGGGGGGAACCCUGAUCCAGCCAUGCCGCGUGUGUGAAGAAGGCCCUCGGGUUGUAAAGCACUUUCAGUGAGGAAGAACGCCUGGUGGUUAAUACCCAUCAGGAAAGACAUCACUCACAGAAGAAGCACCGGCUAACUCCGUGCCAGCAGCCGCGGUAAUACGGAGGGUGCGAGCGUUAAUCGGAAUUACUGGGCGUAAAGCGCGCGUAGGUGGCUUGAUAAGCCGGUUGUGAAAGCCCCGGGCUCAACCUGGGAACGGCAUCCGGAACUGUCAAGCUAGAGUGCAGGAGAGGAAGGUAGAAUUCCCGGUGUAGCGGUGAAAUGCGUAGAGAUCGGGAGGAAUACCAGUGGCGAAGGAGGCCUUCUGGACUGAAACUGACACUGAGGUGCGAAAGCGUGGGUAGCAAACAGGAUUAGAACCCUUGUAGUC